AGGUUCUCUGACAAGCUAAACACAGCUGCACUUCAGUGGCUAUUUUUGGACUCUGUAAAUUCUGGGCCUCUUUCUCUUUGAAAUAUUCUCUGCAGAUUUGCCAAAGACUUUUUAUCUCACUUCUGUCUCGGGGACAACGACUUCGGCCUGAACUGUGAACAGGAAGAGGAGAAUCUACAACCAAACUGACUGUAACAACAGCAACAACAACAACAAGACAGGUACUGGAGAGAUGGCUCAAUGGUUAGGAGCGCUAGCUGCUCUCACAGAAGACUUGAGUUUGGUCCCCAGUGCCCACAGCUGCCAAUUAUAAGGGACUCUGAUGCAUUCUUCCAACCUUUGCAGGGACAGCUUGAGUAGGUAAAUAAACAUACAUGUAGGCAAAGCCCUGUAAAAAAUAUAUAUACACAUACAUAUGCUUUGAAUCCCAGUACAGGCAGAGGCAGGCAGGCCGAUCUCUGAAUUUAAGGCUAACCUAGUCUACAGAGCCAGUUCAGAACAACCAGGGCUACACAGAGAAAUCCUUUCUCAAAUAAGACAAAACAAA
Non-coding RNA from Rattus norvegicus (Norway rat), 547 nucleotides. The record is from RefSeq and is a predicted model, not a curated record. NCBI's taxonomy places the organism in Eukaryota, Metazoa, Chordata, Mammalia, Rodentia, Muridae.